Molecule: ribosomal RNA, 495 nt
Filed under: uncultured Acidobacteriota bacterium
Lineage: Bacteria; Pseudomonadati; Acidobacteriota
Description: bacterial SSU rRNA
Rfam family: Bacterial small subunit ribosomal RNA
Source: RNAcentral
AGAGUUUGAUCAUGGCUCAGAAUCAACGCUGGCGGCGCGCUUAACACAUGCAAGUCGAACGAGAAAGCCCGCAAGGGUGAGUAAAGUGGCGUACGGGUGAGUAACACGUGGGUAAUCUACCCUCUGGUGGGGAAUAACUCUGGGAAACCGGAGCUAAUACCGCAUAAGACCGGCCAUGAAAGUGGUUUGGUGAAAGGGCGAAAGUUCGCCGGAGGAGGAGCCCGCGGCUGAUUAGCUAGUUGGUGAGGUAAGAGCUCACCAAGGCUGAGAUCGGUAGCCGGCCUGAGAGGGCACACGGCCACACUGGCACUGAAACACGGGCCAGACUCCUACGGGAGGCAGCAGUGGGGAAUCUUGCACAAUGGAGGAAACUCUGAUGCAGCGACGCCGCGUGAGUGAUGAAGCCCUUCGGGGUGUAAAGCUCUUUCGACCCGGAAGAUUAUGACGGUACGGGGAGAAGAAGCUGCGGCUAACUACGUGCCAGCAGCCGCGGUA